Long non-coding RNA from Caretta caretta (loggerhead turtle), 743 nucleotides. RefSeq lists it as uncharacterized. NCBI's taxonomy places the organism in Eukaryota, Metazoa, Chordata, Testudines, Cheloniidae. The record is from RefSeq and is a predicted model, not a curated record.
CAGGGGCUGCGAAAACCAGUGGAACAGUGAAGGCCAGAGAGUGGGAAAACAACAGUCUUGCAUCCCUGAAGCCAGUGUGUUUUGGGAAAGCUGAGGAAGCUCUGGAAAGCUGGCUUGGACUGGUACAAAGAGCACAGGGGACAGAGGUCCCUGAACAAAACACCCCCAAAAGACCCCAGGACUUAAAACCCUCCAGAGAGCUAAAGCAAAUAGGAGAUCAACAGCAGACCCUGGACAACCUGUGCACAGGACAGAACUCUCGUCCACCCUUCCCCCUCUUCUUCUGACGUUACACCCAGGGUUGGCCAGCCUCGGGUCAUGCGUGUAUAUAAAUAAAGCUUGGGAAAAAAUGUGACAUGUGGAUGAAGGAGGAAAAAUAACAGAUCCAGACACCCUGGUACCACUCAGUGGCCAUAGAUGCCAAACACAACAAAUAUGUUUUACAACAAGCCUGAAGCACCAACCACCUUUCUCAUGAAAGCUAUAUGAGAUCUGUAAGAUUUCAAUCCAGAGAGGGGAUGAGCACUUUCUGCUAAGAACUGAAAACCUAUAACUUGCUCUGAAGUGAGCAGGAGUGGAGGACACUCAUUCAGAACCUGAGAAGUGUCAACACCUUUCCUGAGGGAGCUCUUUGUUAAGCACUUCCUGCAACUGUUUCUGAACAUAGCCUUGUCCAGACAGUCAUAUAUGUUAGUCAUACAUGACAAUUCCAUGGUUUGUAGACCACUUCUUUGUCUUUUCUG